RNAcentral lists this ribosomal RNA (432 nucleotides) under uncultured bacterium. Its description in RNAcentral is "partial 16S ribosomal RNA". It matches the Rfam family "Bacterial small subunit ribosomal RNA", at positions 29 to 507 of the family's 1533-position model. The record is from RNAcentral.
AACGAACGCUGGCGGCAUGCCUAACACAUGCAAGUCGAACGAGACCUUCGGGUCUAGUGGCGCACGGGUGCGUAACGCGUGGGAACCUGCCCUUAGGUUCGGAAUAACUCCCCGAAAGGGGUGCUAAUACCGGAUAAUGUCUUCGGACCAAAGAUUAUCGCCCUUGGAUGGGCCCGCGUUGGAUUAGCUAGUUGGUAGGGUAAAAGCCUACCAAGGCGACGAUCCAUAGCUGGUCUGAGAGGAUGAUCAGCCACACUGGGACUGAGACACGGCCCAGACUCCUACGGGAGGCAGCAGUGGGGAAUAUUGGACAAUGGGCGAAAGCCUGAUCCAGCAAUGCCGCGUGAGUGAUGAAGGCCUUAGGGUUGUAAAGCUCUUUUACCCGGGAUGAUAAUGACAGUACCGGGAGAAUAAGCUCCGGCUAACUCCGUG